Molecule: non-coding RNA, 1732 nt
Organism: Electrophorus electricus (electric eel)
Lineage: Eukaryota; Metazoa; Chordata; Actinopteri; Gymnotiformes; Gymnotidae
Source: RefSeq, a predicted model, not a curated record
CUGCUCCACACUAGGCUCCACUGUACCAUAACGCGUUUUAUUUGUCUUCAAUCUCAAAACUGGAUUCAGCGGUUUGUGGCAUGAACGUGGGCAGCUGAGGGUGCCGACGCUCGGAGCUCUGCAGCAGAACUGCCUGUGCUGUGGAAAAAGAGGAGGUCCAUGCAUGCUUCAGAACGAUGCCCACCACAGCGUUAAAGCCUUGUGAUUGGUCAUCCCCUUUAACCCCUGACUGACCACACAGAGACCACACAGAGGAGGGAGAGAGAGCGAGGCGUAUCACACAGCUGCGUUUGGGAAUUCCCUCGACCUACAGCAGUGGCACAAGUGGAGCUUUCACAUCAACACAGGGUUCAUGCUGACAGACGUUUCACACCGACCAAGGCUUCGUACCGAAUGAGGGAUCCCAGUCACAGAAAUUUUGGACUGACAGGUUUUGGUCUGCACAUCUAAACACACAAACCGCUCCGUUAAAGUGAUGCUUUUGUCAGGCCGUGUUAAAGGGGUGCAGAUCGAUGAAGAGCAGUUUGGAGUGGGUGCAUGUGCGUGUGCACUCUUUUACAGUUGCUAUUAGACACGGCUCUACCAGUGAUGCCCACAUCCUUCUAUUUUAUUAAUGUGCAUUUUCCUGUUAUCAUAUUAACAUAGCAGUGUUUCUACAGUACCUACUGAGGUAUUAACACAUCAUUGUUUCUGUUGGACCUGCUGAGGUAUUAAUACAUCAUUGUUUCUGUUGGACCUGCUGAGGUAUUAAUACAUCAGUGUUUCUGUAGGACCUGCUGAGGUAUUAACACAUCAGUGUUUCUGUAGGACCUGCUGAGGUAUUAAUACAUCAGUGUUUCUGUAGGAUGUUCCCCUUUGACACUGCCUUUGGUUUAUAUUUAGGUCACGGUAAAAUUCCCUCUUAUAUUCUAUUUCUAAUGUGAAUGAUGUCAUCCCUCCAUAUUAUUUUGUAUACUGAAUCAAGAAACAGAAGAAUUUCACAGAGCAAGCACACAAUUCGAAAAGAAACCAUUUCCCUCACUGUGUUCUGAAUGUCCCGCAUUGAGUGGGUGUUGUUUGAUCAGUAUCACACAGCAAACAUUGCAGAUCAGAACUAAAGUGCACUCACAAUGUAUAUCAGUAUUAGACUGCAAACACUCACAAUGUAUAUCAGUAUUAGACUGCAAACACUCAGUGUAGAACAGUGUUAGAUUGCAAACACUCACUUUUACAGAUGCACAUGCCAUUUGACUGUGUCACUGUACCAUUGCUGAACUGAGAGUACACCGGGCAUGUACAUAACUCUCCAGAAUGAACGUGGCUCUCACGAAAACAUGUCAUUUAGAGACAGAAUAAUGUGAUAAUACAGAAAGAAGUUAAAAAAUGAAUGAAACAUUAUUCACAAGGGAAACCUCUUGUUUAUGAGCAUUUAAUUAUAUUUUAAAAUCACAGCUUGUGGAAAAAUAUUUAAAAAAAAGCAUCUGGAGAAAAAUUAGUCAACAAGAUCAAACAACAAAAACAGCAAACAUUACGUAAAUAAGAUUAAAAAUUUCAUUGGUUGCCUCUAAGCUUCAGUUUUAAAUAUUGUAAAUUUUGUACAGUUUCAGAAAGUGUUGGCACUCUUGAUUUAUGAGCUGUUUAUUGCCACGUGUCUUUGAAAAAGAAACAAAUUCUAUUCCUGUAGCCUUUCUGUGCCACGCCGUGACUGGUGUAGUCAGAUGUGUAAGGAGAAAAUAAACCGUGGAGAUUUUGA